GCAACACUCAAGUAAUCUCCAACCUGAAAGUUGAGAUCUUGUAAUGUCUUUGCAUCAUCCAAUCGCCGAUUAUUUCCAUACGAAAAUGCCAUGCCAACCGGCCUCACGACAUAACGACCACGCUUGUCAGGAUACACAAAUGCAAAUGACAGCUUCGCAUCUCUUUUCCUCGCUGCAAGAGCAACCUCUUUGACCAGGUCAGUUAGUUCUCGA
Molecule: unclassified non-coding RNA, 213 nt
Filed under: Hevea brasiliensis (rubber tree)
Lineage: Eukaryota; Viridiplantae; Streptophyta; Magnoliopsida; Malpighiales; Euphorbiaceae
Source: RNAcentral